RNAcentral lists this ribosomal RNA (442 nucleotides) under uncultured bacterium. Its description in RNAcentral is "partial 16S ribosomal RNA". It matches the Rfam family "Bacterial small subunit ribosomal RNA", at positions 338 to 795 of the family's 1533-position model. The record is from RNAcentral.
CCUACGGGUGGCAGCAGUGGGGAAUAUUGGUCAAUGGGCGCAAGCCUGACCCAGCAACGCCGCGUGAAGGAAGAAGGCCUUCGGGUUGUAAAACUCUUUUGUUAGGGAAGUGUAAAAGAGGGUACCUGACCAAUAAGCUACGGCUAACUACGUACCAGCAGCCGCGGUAAUACGUAGGUGGCAAGCGUUAUCCGGAUUUACUGGGUGUAAAGGGCGUGUAGCCGGAUUGACAAGUCAGAUGUGAAAGCCUGCGGCUUAACCGGAGAAUUGCAUUUGAAACUGUUGAUCUUGAGUACAGGAGAGGAGGAUGGAAUUCCUGGUGUAGCGGUGAAAUGCGUAGAUAUAAGGAGGAACACCAGUGGCGAAGGCGGUUUGCUGGACAGCAACUGACGCUGAGGCGCGAAAGCGUGGGUAGCAAACAGGAUUAGAUACCCGGGUAGUC